Molecule: unclassified non-coding RNA, 256 nt
Filed under: fungal sp.
Lineage: Eukaryota; Fungi
Description: partial internal transcribed spacer region
Rfam family: Eukaryotic small subunit ribosomal RNA (bases 1-46)
Source: RNAcentral
AAGUCGUAACAAGGUUUCUGUAGGUGAACCUGCGGAAGGAUCAUUAACACGUAUCCACGUUAAACCCCCCUGGGAACUAGUUCUGGUGAGAAGUUACAGUUACGAUUGAGCGAUCGUUGCAAGCCUGGUUUCCCCAAACAAUUAGUGUCUAACAGUGUCACUGAUUGCGUAAGGAUAACGAUCACUAGAGGCCGAACACCGGCCGGUGACCAGGUCGUGGCUUCGGCCCCCUAUAUUCACCCCACUACCUGCACUC